AACUUUCAACAACGGAUCUCUUGGUUCUGGCAUCGAUGAAGAACGCAGCGAAAUGCGAUAAGUAAUGUGAAUUGCAGAAUUCAGUGAAUCAUCGAAUCUUUGAACGCACAUUGCGCCCGCCAGCAUUCUGGCGGGCAUGCCUGUUC
Molecule: ribosomal RNA, 146 nt
Filed under: fungal endophyte ATm-9
Lineage: Eukaryota; Fungi; Ascomycota
Description: 5.8S ribosomal RNA
Rfam family: 5.8S ribosomal RNA
About the family: 5.8S ribosomal RNA (5.8S rRNA) is a component of the large subunit of the eukaryotic ribosome. It is transcribed by RNA polymerase I as part of the 45S precursor that also contains 18S and 28S rRNA.
Source: RNAcentral